This 909-nucleotide ribosomal RNA is filed under the name Melanomma populicola. RNAcentral describes it as "LSU rRNA". It matches the Rfam family "Eukaryotic large subunit ribosomal RNA", at positions 38 to 964 of the family's 3401-position model. The record is from RNAcentral. Lineage: Eukaryota; Fungi; Ascomycota; Dothideomycetes; Pleosporales; Melanommataceae.
GCAUAUCAAUAAGCGGAGGAAAAGAAACCAACAGGGAUUGCCCCAGUAACGGCGAGUGAAGCGGCAAUAGCUCAAAUUUGAAAUCUGGCUCUUUCAGGGUCCGAGUUGUAAUUUGCAGAGGGCGCUUUGGUGUCGGCAGCGGCCUAAGUUCCUUGGAACAGGUCAUCAUAGAGGGUGAGAAUCCCGUAUGUGGCUGCUUGUCUUCACCGUGUAAAGCCCCUUCGAUGAGUCGAGUUGUUUGGGAAUGCAGCUCUAAAUGGGAGGUAAAUUUCUUCUAAAGCUAAAUAUUGGCCAGAGACCGAUAGCGCACAAGUAGAGUGAUCGAAAGAUGAAAAGCACUUUGGAAAGAGAGUCAAAAAGCACGUGAAAUUGUUGAAAGGGAAGCGCUUGCAGCCAGACGUGCCUGUAGUUGCUCAUCUGGGGAGUUCCCCAGUGCACUCUUCUAUGGGCAGGCCAGCAUCAGUUCGGGCGGUUGGAGAAAGACCUGUGUCACGUAGCUCUCUUCGGGGAGUGUUAUAGGGCAGGUGGAAUGCAACCAGCCUGGACUGAGGUCCGCGCAUCUGCUAGGAUGCUGGCGUAAUGGCUGUAAGCGGCCCGUCUUGAAACACGGACCAAGGAGUCUAACAUCUAUGCGAGUGUUUGGGUGUCAAGCCCGAGCGCGUAAUGAAAGUGAACGGAGGUGGGAACCCCUCGGGGUGCACCAUCGACCGAUCCUGAUGUCUUCGGAUGGAUUUGAGUAAGAGCAUAGCUGUUGGGACCCGAAAGAUGGUGAACUAUGCCUGAAUAGGGUGAAGCCAGAGGAAACUCUGGUGGAGGCUCGCAGCGGUUUCUGACGUGCAAAUCGAUCGUCAAAUUUGGGCAUAGGGGCGAAAGACUAAUCGAACUAUCUAGUAGCUGGGUUCCUGCCGA